RNAcentral lists this ribosomal RNA (497 nucleotides) under uncultured bacterium. RNAcentral describes it as "partial 16S ribosomal RNA". It matches the Rfam family "Bacterial small subunit ribosomal RNA", at positions 28 to 507 of the family's 1533-position model. The record is from RNAcentral.
GAUGAACGCUGGCGGCGUGCCUAAUACAUGCAAGUCGAGCGAACAGACGAGGAGCUUGCUCCUCUGACGUUAGCGGCGGACGGGUGAGUAACACGUGGAUAACCUACCUAUAAGACUGGGAUAACUUCGGGAAACCGGAGCUAAUACCGGAUAAUAUAUUGAACCGCAUGGUUCAAUAGUGAAAGACGGUUUUGCUGUCACUUAUAGAUGGAUCCGCGCCGCACUAGCUAGUUGGUAAGGUAACGGCUUACCAAGGCAACGAUGCGUAGCCGACCUGAGAGGGUGAUCGGCCACACUGGAACUGAGACACGGUCCAGACUCCUACGGGAGGCAGCAGUAGGGAAUCUUCCGCAAUGGGCGAAAGCUUGACGGAGCAACGCCGCGUGAGUGAUGAAGGUCUUCGGAUCGUAAAACUCUGUUAUUAGGGAAGAACAUAUGUGUAAGUAACUGUGCACAUCUUGACGGUACCUAAUCAGAAAGCCACGGCUAACUACGUG